GUCUCUAUGGCGUAGUGGGAAAAUGACACACUCUCAAUAAGGAGUCCUGGGUUCGAAUCCCGGGUGAGACA
Non-coding RNA from Henosepilachna vigintioctopunctata, 71 nucleotides. Lineage: Eukaryota; Metazoa; Arthropoda; Insecta; Coleoptera; Coccinellidae. The record is from the annotation of a GenBank genome assembly.